RNAcentral lists this ribosomal RNA (216 nucleotides) under Glomeromycotina sp. Its description in RNAcentral is "partial small subunit ribosomal RNA". The stretch from base 40 to 216 matches the Rfam family "Eukaryotic small subunit ribosomal RNA", at positions 686 to 864 of the family's 1831-position model. Lineage: Eukaryota; Fungi; Glomeromycota. The record is from RNAcentral.
GGGUCAGUAGGUUGGUCGUGCCACCGGUACGUACUGGUCUAACUGAUCCCUCCUUCCUGAAGAACCGUAAUGCCAUUAAUUUGGUGUUGCGGGGAAACAGGACUGUUACUUUGAAAAAAUUAGAGUGUUUAAAGCAAGCUAACGCUUGAAUACAUUAGCAUGGAAUAAUGAAAUAGGACGAUCGAUCCUAUUUUGUUGGUUUCUAGGAUUGACGUA